GUGAAUCAUCAAAUUUUUGAACGCAAAUUGCACUCUCUUCGGAGAGUAUGCCUGUUUGAGGGUCAGUAUUAAUAAAAAUCGGUGUGUUGCUUCUUUGUGACGCUCCGGAGUUUGGGUCAUCUAAUUAUCCUUUAGUUUUUAAGAGCUUUAAAUUUGAUUUUUUUUGGGCUUUUAAGUUUUCAAUAAUUUUUUUUUUUUAUUGUUUUUCUUUAUUCUCCAAAAUCUAUUUAAAUCCAC
RNAcentral lists this unclassified non-coding RNA (237 nucleotides) under Glomeraceae sp. RNAcentral's name for it is "partial contains 5.8S ribosomal RNA and internal transcribed spacer 2". The stretch from base 1 to 65 matches the Rfam family "5.8S ribosomal RNA", at positions 84 to 154 of the family's 154-position model. The record is from RNAcentral. Lineage: Eukaryota; Fungi; Glomeromycota; Glomeromycetes; Glomerales; Glomeraceae.